RNAcentral lists this long non-coding RNA (3061 nucleotides) under Homo sapiens (human). RNAcentral describes it as "non-protein coding lnc-SMIM17-5:1". The record is from RNAcentral. Lineage: Eukaryota; Metazoa; Chordata; Mammalia; Primates; Hominidae.
AGAAGGCUAAGCGUCUGCACACGCUAGGUCCGCAGGGCGCUGACCCCUGGGGGCCCGAGGAGCGCCGGGCUGCUGCCCCGAGCCCCGCCCACUACAGCCUCAGUGCAUGGCGGUGGGCGCUUCCAGUAACUCAGGGGUGGGACUUUUUUCUUGCUCAGGGGAUGAGGCCGAGCCCACAGGCUUAGAAAGAAGGAACUUGAGUCCGGGCACCUGUCAUCCCAGCGCUUAGGGAGGCCGAGGCGGGUGGAUCACCUGAGGUCAGGAGUUCGAGACCAGCCUGGCCAAUAUGGCGAAACCCCCGUCUCUACUAAAAAUACAAAAAUUAGCCGAGCAUGGUGGCAUGCACUUCCAGCUACUUGGAAGGCUGAGGCGGGAGAAUGGCUUGAACCUGGGAGGCGAGGGUUGCAGUGAGCUGAGAUCGCACCACUGCACUCCAGCCUGGGUGACAGAGCGAGACUUCGUCUCAAAAAAAAAGAAGAAGAAAGAAGGAAGCUGAGGUUCAGACAGGCUAAGUCCCUACUGCAGGCUGCGGAAUCUAAAAAGGGUCAUGAACUCUGAGAGUUUGAGAUGAGCCUCUAAAAGCUGUAUCAAUAGCACCUUGCACUGUUGAAGCAGGUAAGUGUUUUCCUUGUUACUUCUUAAGUUCAGUUGGAAACCCAACAUAGCAAAUCCUCUAGAAUGCAGCUGAAGCAGUACUAAGGCUGGGUGUGGUGGCUCAUGCCUAUAAUCCUGUAGGGAGGCAAAAGCGGGAGGAUUGCUGGAGCCCAGGAGUUCAAGACCAGCCUGGGCAACACGGCAAGACCUGGUUCUCCACAAAAAGGAAAAAAAAAUGCUAAGAGGCAAGUAUAUAGCAAUAAACUCCUACAUCAAAAAAGUAGAAACAUUUCAAAUAAGAGAUUGGGGGCAGUGGCUCAUGCCUGUAAUCCUAGCACUUUUGGAGGCCGAGGUGGGUAGAUUGCUUGAGACCAGGAGUUCGAGACCAGCAUGGGCAACAUAGCGAGACCCUGUCUCUACAAAAAAUCAGAAAAUUAGCCAGGCGUGGUGGUGCAAGCCUGUAGCCCCAGCUACUCGGGAGGCUAGGGUGGGAGGAUUGAUUGAGCCUUUGAGGUAGAGGUUGCAGUGAGCUGAGAUUGUGCCAUUGCAUUCCAGCCUGGGUGACAGAGCUAGACCCUGUCUCAAAAAAAGAAAGAGAGAAAGAAAGAGAAAUAAAUAAAGAGAGAAAGAAAGAAAAGAAAGAAAACAAACAAGGAAGGAAGAAAGAAAAAGAAAGAGAAAGAAAGAAAGAAAAAGAAAAAGAAAGAAAGAAAGACUUCAAUAACCUAAGGAUGCACCUCAAGAAUCUAGGAAAGCGAGAACAAACCAAACCCAAAAAUUAGUAGAAGAAAGUAAAUAAAGCGCAGAGCAGAAACAAAUAAGAUUGAGACCAAAAAAAUACAUAAAAGAUCAAUGAAAAAAAAAUUGCUUUUACAUCAUGGUCUUGACCUUGCAGGGAUGGCCCCUCCCAGUUUUAGCCAAUUUCUCGAGUGAUAAAUAACUUGCUUGAGAGCAUGCCUUUUAUAUAUAAACCACCAAUCCAGAGCCCACAUCCCACCCACUCUCUAACAGGGCGCUAUACUCACCCCAGGGCCAGGUAUCACACCACUAAGAACAGCCCUUUUCCCCAGAUCCCACUGAGGUUAUCCAAAGUGACCAGCCCUAACCUAUGAAAUCUGCCUCACUUCUUCCUUUCCACAGAAACUAUAGCAAAGUCUUGUCCACACCCACAUUUCACUCACCUCCUUCUGACUCCUGGCAGAUCCUGGCGCUUUCCCCAUGGGGCUGCCUGAGCUGAGACGGGCUCUCUUCUCCUGGAAACUGAGUAACACAAUUUAUUUCAAUGACAGUCACUUCCUCAUCUGUUGGCCUCAGCGUACCUCCAAUUUUCCAUUACACAAUAAAUGGAAAAUAAUAUAGGCCGGGUGUGGUGGCUCACGCCUGUAAUCCCAGCACUUUGGGAGGCCGAGGUGGGUGGAUCACCUGAGGUCAGGAGUUUGAGACCAGCCUGACCAGCAUGGCGAAACCCCAUCUCUACUAAAAAUAGAAAAAUUAGCUGAGCUUCGUGGCUGGAGCCUGUAGUCCCAGAUACUUGGGAGGCUGAGCCAGGAGAAUUGCUUGAACUCAGAAGGCAGAGGUUGCAGUGAGCCGAGAUCAUGCCGCUGCACUCUAGCCUGGGAGACAGAGCGAGACUCCAUCUCAGAAAAAAAAAAAAAAAAGAAAAUUGAAUUGGGCCAGCCCCUCCACACCUGUGGGUAUUUCUCAUCAGGUGGGACGAGAGACUGAGAAAAGAAAUGACACAGAGACGAAGUAUAGAGAAAGAACAGUGGGCCCAGGGGACCAGCGCUCAGCAUACAGAGGACCCGCACUGGCGCCAGCCCCUGAGUUCCCUCAGUAUUUAUUGAUCAUUAUUUUUACUAUCUUAACAAGGGGAGCGUAGAAGGACAACAGGUGGGGAGAAGGUCAGCAGGGAAACGUGCGCAAAGGAAUCUGUAUCAUGAAUAAGUUCAAGGAAAGGUACCGUGGCUGGAUGUGCACGUAGACUAGAUUUAUGUUUCUCUUUACCCAAACAUCUCAGUGUAGCAAAGAGUCACAGAGCAGUAUUGCUGCCAGCAUAUCUCACCUCCAGCCACAGGGCGGUUUUCUCCUAUCUCAGAAUAGAACGAAUGGGAAUGAUCGGCUUUACACCCAGAUAUUCCAUUCCCAGGGACGAGCAGGAGACAGAAGCCUUCCUCUUAUCUCAACUGCAAAGAGGCCUCCCUCUUUCACUCCUCCUCCUCAGCACAGACCCUUUAAGGGUGUCCCGCUGGGGGAUAUAAGGUCUUUCCUUUCCCAUGAGGCCAUAUCUCAGGCUAUCUCAGUGAGGGGAAACCUUGGACAAUACCCAGGCUUUCUUGGGCAGAGGUCCGUGUGGCUUUCCGCAGUGCAUUGUGUCCCUGGUUAAUCGAGACUGGAGAAUGGCGAUGACUUUUACCAAGCAUACUGCCUGCAAACAUAUUGUUAACAAGGCACAUGCUGUACAGCCCUA